AGACGGUGGAUAGAUUGAUUGAAACUGGAGACAGUGAGCAUAUUUUUCAGAAAGUAAUCAUGGAGCAAGUAAGAGGGCAGGUAAUAAAUAUUGGAUACUGGCUGAGAUUCAGGAGCGGCAUGGCGCUUUCAGAGGCUUAGAGAACAAACUCCUCUACAUUGUAGCUUAAAAUGCUGAAUCUGAAAGUGUCAAACAAGAUGCUGAAUUAGAAAAUGCAUUUGAAAUCGUCCAGGUGCUUGCUAAGAUUCAGAAGAGGUGAAAGAGUCUCAAAGCGAGUCGAAAGCUAACUAUGUCUACAUAUGUGUUCUUAGAAAACCUUGAACCGUUUGCAUGGAAUGAUAUUGUUUAAUGAACAUUAGUAUCGAAAGAUUUUAUUUGCGCAUCUAUGUAUUAGACGUUCCCAGGAACUAACAUUUCAUAUCGAGCCAAUCGCUUGCCAAAGGUUUUGCUACCAACUUUACAGAAUUAGCCAUUCUUUUUUUUUUUUUUGACAGACAGAAUUAGCCAUUCAAAUAGGACAUAAAUAAGUGAUGAUUUUUGUUUCUGAAAGGAAUGGUCUAUGAGCAUCAUGAAAAGUCCAUGCUACGUUUAGGACAAACAAUUACGUUGUUGAAUACAAGUUUGAUCUGCAAAACUUCAAUUAAUUAUUUGUUUACCUGGUAACAGCCCACGUAGAGCAUCACUGCAACCACAUCAACUACUACUGUGGCGCUGAAACGAUGUAGUCUGACCCCAACCGGAAUAGUGAGCCAACCUUUUCGACCUUAAAAUUUACAAGUGAAGAAAUUGGGACCAUUGAGUUCUCUAUGUCAUUGAGCUCAAUAUAUAGCAAGCUUGAUGUAAAUGUACUGUACUUUUCUUGCAGUAGAUGUAGAGGUGACUCACUUAUAUCGACUAGAGAGAAGACAAGGGUAGCCACAUUAGAGGACAUACCAUCUCACUAGCACCCCUAAAAGGUCAAGAAAUCUGAAAUCCAUCAAUAGACCAAAGAGAACAAGAGAUGAGUGGGAAACAAAGAGUAGAGAAGCCUGAAGUUGCAGAUGGUGGAGAAAAGAAUGAUGAAAAGGAAAUAUUCAAGUGGACUUACUCAUAAGUAGAAAGUAGAAAUACGUCCCCUUUUGUGAUCUUCGUCUGACUCUAGAGGUCAAAGGUCCUAUCGAAGUAGCGGAAACUGACAAGGAUAAUGUGAAAUCUGAGUUGAGGUUGGUCUCAUCUUCUACAUGUCUCUGUGUUUAUGAUGUUCUCAUGUAUCUUACGCCAUUCUUACAUAUAUGUAAUACGUUUUUUUAAUU
Long non-coding RNA from Brassica napus (rape), 1292 nucleotides. RefSeq lists it as uncharacterized. The transcript has 4 exons. The record is from RefSeq and is a predicted model, not a curated record. Lineage: Eukaryota; Viridiplantae; Streptophyta; Magnoliopsida; Brassicales; Brassicaceae.